RNAcentral lists this ribosomal RNA (385 nucleotides) under uncultured bacterium. RNAcentral's name for it is "bacterial SSU rRNA". It matches the Rfam family "Bacterial small subunit ribosomal RNA", at positions 29 to 416 of the family's 1533-position model. The record is from RNAcentral.
AUUGAACGCUGGCGGAAUGCUUUACACAUGCAAGUCGAGCGGCAGCGCGGGGCAACCUGGCGGCGAGCGGCGAACGGGUGAGUAAUGCAUCGGAACGUACCCAGUCGUGGGGGAUAACUGUCCGAAAGGACAGCUAAUACCGCAUACGUCCUGAGGGAGAAAGCGGGGGAUCGCAAGACCUCGCGCGAUUGGAGCGGCCGAUGCCGGAUUAGCUAGUUGGUAGGGUAAAGGCCUACCAAGGCGACGAUCCGUAGCUGGUCUGAGAGGACGACCAGCCACACUGGAACUGAGACACGGUCCAGACUCCUACGGGAGGCAGCAGUGGGGGAAUUUUGGACAAUGGGGGCAACCCUGAUCCAGCCAUUCCGCGUGAGUGAAGAAGGCC